Molecule: non-coding RNA, 84 nt
Organism: Monopterus albus (swamp eel)
Lineage: Eukaryota; Metazoa; Chordata; Actinopteri; Synbranchiformes; Synbranchidae
Source: the annotation of a RefSeq genome assembly
ACCAGGAUGGCCGAGUGGUUAAGGCGUUGGACUUAAGAUCCAACGGGCCGUGAGCCCACGUGGGUUCAAACCCCACUCCUGGUA